RNAcentral lists this ribosomal RNA (253 nucleotides) under uncultured bacterium. Its description in RNAcentral is "partial 16S ribosomal RNA". It matches the Rfam family "Bacterial small subunit ribosomal RNA", at positions 524 to 776 of the family's 1533-position model. The record is from RNAcentral.
UACGGUGGGGGCAAGCGUUGUUCGGAAUUACUGGGCGUAAAGGGCUCGUAGGCGGCCAACUAAGUCCGACGUGAAAUCCCAAGGCUUAACCUUGGAACUGCGUCGGAUACUGGAUGGCUUGAAUUCGGGAGAGGGAUGCAGAAUUCCAGGUGUAGCGGUGAAAUGCGUAGAUAUCUGGAGGAAUACCGGUGGCGAAGGCGGCAUCCUGGACCGACAUUGACGCUGAUGAGCGAAAGCUAGGGGAGCAAACGGG